GCGCCCGUAGCUCAGCGGAUAGAGCAGCCGCCUUCUAAGCGGCAGGUCGCAGGUUCGAUCCCUGCCGGGCGCGCCA
Molecule: transfer RNA, 76 nt
Filed under: Alphaproteobacteria bacterium
Lineage: Bacteria; Pseudomonadati; Pseudomonadota; Alphaproteobacteria
Also listed under: 1 other name
Description: tRNA-Arg
Rfam family: tRNA
About the family: Transfer RNA (tRNA) molecules are approximately 80 nucleotides in length. Their secondary structure includes four short double-helical elements and three loops (D, anti-codon, and T loops). Further hydrogen bonds mediate the characteristic L-shaped molecular structure. tRNAs have two regions of fundamental functional importance: the anti-codon, which is responsible for specific mRNA codon recognition, and the 3' end, to which the tRNAs corresponding amino acid is attached (by aminoacyl-tRNA synthetases). tRNAs cope with the degeneracy of the genetic code in two manners: having more than one tRNA (with a specific anti-codon) for a particular amino acid; and 'wobble' base-pairing, i.e. permitting non-standard base-pairing at the 3rd anti-codon position.
Source: RNAcentral